GACGAACGCUGGCGGCGUGCUUAACACAUGCAAGUCGAACGAAGAGCGAUGGAAGCUUGCUUCUAUCAAUCUUGGUGGCGAACGGGUGAGUAACGCGUAAUCAACCUGCCCUUCAGAGGGGGACAACAGUUGGAAACGACUGCUAAUACCGCAUACGAUCUAAUCUCGGCAUCGAGGAUAGAUGAAAGGUGGCCUCUACAUGUAAGCUAUCACUGAAGGAGGGGAUUGCGUCUGAUUAGCUAGUUGGAGGGGUAACGGCCCACCAAGGCGAUGAUCAGUAGCCGGUCUGAGAGGAUGAACGGCCACAUUGGGACUGAGACACGGCUCAGACUCCUACGGGAGGCAGCAGUGGGGAAUCUUCCGCAAUGGACGAAAGUCUGACGGAGCAACGCCGCGUGAGUGAUGACGGCCUUCGGGUUGUAAAGCUCUGUUAAUCGGGACGAAAGGCCUUCUUGCGAAUAGUGAGAAGGAUUGACGGUACCGGAAGAGAAAGCCACGGCUAACUACGUG
This 510-nucleotide ribosomal RNA is filed under the name uncultured bacterium. Its description in RNAcentral is "partial 16S ribosomal RNA". It matches the Rfam family "Bacterial small subunit ribosomal RNA", at positions 28 to 507 of the family's 1533-position model. The record is from RNAcentral.